RNAcentral lists this long non-coding RNA (2156 nucleotides) under Homo sapiens (human). Its description in RNAcentral is "HSALNT0001517". Lineage: Eukaryota; Metazoa; Chordata; Mammalia; Primates; Hominidae. The record is from RNAcentral.
CACGCCCUCCCAUCUCUCCCUCCUUCCUGCCGUCCCCCGCCUGAGGGAGGGGAGCGGUGCAGCAGACAUCCGAGGGCAGCUGGGACCCCCUGACUCAGCCGACGGGUGAGUCAGGCUCCCUGCAGGCCACACCGGACCCCCCCAGGGCGGGGAUUUCCCCAAGAUGAGAAAUCAGCCACCGGAAGUCACGCCGGACCUUGGACGGGCAGACAGAGGCUGGGAGGAGUUCUGGGUGCAGAGCCCCCCAACCUGUGCUCUCAUCUCUUGCUCUGGGGUAAGCCAGUGGCCAUGCUAUAAGGACACUCAAGCCACCCUAUGAAGAAGCCCACAUGAAGAGGAACUGAGAUAUCUGGCCAACAGCCAGCCAGUCACUGAGCCUGCCAACCACGCUGUGGCAGGUACCUCCAGCCCCAGACACCUGCAGCCUCCACUGAAAGCUCAAUGGCAGCCUCAUGAGACCCUGGACCGGAACCACCCAACGAAGCGGCUCCUGUAUUCCUGAUUGACAGAAACUACGGGAUCAUAAAUGCUUGCUGUUCAGUCUGCCAAGUGUUGGCGUGAUUUGUUAAACAGCAACCAGUAACUAAUACGCCACCCAUGGCUGCCGCGUUCCUGCUGUGGGGCCAGCACUAUUCCAUGCUUAGAGGCUCCAUCAAUACCUGUGAUGGACUAAAUGGUCAGUACAAACAACAGCUCCUCUGUAAUGGUAUGAGGCAGACAGGUUUCUAAAGGCAAUAUGCUAAGGUGCAAACUCAACCCCAAAAGACCACAUAGUGUAUCAUCCCAUUUAUAUGAAAUGUCCAGAACAGGCAAAUCCAUAGAGACAGAAAGCAGAUUAGUGGUUGCCAGAGGCUGAGAGAUGGAAGAAAAGUAGAGAGUAACUGCUAAUGGUGUGAAAUCUCUUUUUGGAGUGAUGAAAAUGUUUUAAUUUUUUUUUUUUAAUAGAGACAGGGUCUCACUAUAUUGCCCAGGCUGGUCUUGAACUUCUAGGCUCAAGUGAGUUCAGCCUCAGCCUCCCAAAGUGCUUGGAUUACAGACAUGAGCCACCAUGCACAGCUUAAAAUUUAUGAUGCUGAUGGUUGCAUAACUGUGAAUAUACUAAAAACCACUGAGGCGGGGUUUGGUGACUGACACCUGUAAUCCUAGCACUUUGGGAGGCCGAGGUGGGAGGAUCACUUGACACCAAGAGUUUGAAACCAGCCUAGGCAACAUAGCAAGACUCCAUCUCUACAAAAAAUUUAAAAAUAAAAAUAAAAACCAUUAGGCCAGGCAUGAUGGCUCAUGCCUGUAAUCCUAGCACUUUGGGAUGCCAAUGCGGGUGGAUCACCUGAGGUUAAGAGUUCGAGACCAGGCUGGCCAACAUGGUGAAACCCCAUCUCUACUAAAAAUACAUAAAGUAGCCCGGUGUGGUGGUGGGCGCCUGUAAUCCCAGCUACUCGGGAGGCUGAAACAGAAGGAUCACUUGAACCCGGGAGGCAGAGGUUGCAAUGAGCCGAGAUCACGCCACUGCACUUCAGCCUGUGUGACAGGAGUGAAACUCCAUCUCAAAAAUAAAAACGAAAACAAUAACAACAACAGCAACAAAAAACCAUUGCAUUGUGCACAUUAAAUGAAUUGUAUGGUAUGUGAAUUCUAGCUCAAUAAAGCUUCUUAUGCUAAAACAUGACGAGGAAGAAGAGGAGGAGGAGAAGAGGCAAAGUCACUGGUGCCCAAGGAAUGGCACCAGGAGUGGUCUCCAGGAAGGCUGGCCACCUGUAGGGCUGGGAGAGCUCUGUGAUGCUGACAUCAGGGGCCUUCUUCAUGCCUGAGAAACAGGACAUGGGCUAAGGGCGGCUAACCAAGGCCUGGGAGAAUAUUGAGAGGUAAACAGGCGAUGUGGGUGUGGGGCGCUCAGCCUACUUGGCCAAAGGGUGAGUUCUUGCUAAUUUCACAGGGAGAGCCUGACUGGUCUCAAGCACCUGAGGCCCAGCAUGAGAAGUCAACAUCCCUGACUUCUCAUCCUCUAUAGAAAUUUCCCCCAGACCAGGCGCGGUGGCUCACGCCUGUAAUCCCAGCACUUUGGCAGGCCAAGGUGGGCGGAUCACCUGAAGUCAGGAGUUCAAGACCAGCCUGGCCAACACCGUGAAACCCCGUCUCUACUAAAAAUACAAAAAUUA